CCUACGGGCGGCUGCAGUGGGGAAUAUUGGGCAAUGGGCGAAAGCCUGACCCAGCAACGCCGCGUGAAGGAAGAAGGCUUUCGGGUUGUAAACUUCUUUUGACAGGGAAGAGCAGAAGACGGUACCUGUCGAAUAAGCCACGGCUAACUACGUGCCAGCAGCCGCGGUCAUACGUAGGGGGCAAGCGUUAUCCGGAUUUACUGGGUGUAAAGGGAGCGUAGACGGCCAGACAAGUCAGAAGUGAAAGCCCAGGGCUCAACCCUGGGACUGCUUUUGAAACUGCCGGGCUGGAGUGCAGGAGAGGUAAGCGGAAUUCGUAGUGUAGCGGUGAAAUGCGUAGAUAUUAGGAGGAACACCAGUGGCGAAGGCGGCUUACUGGAGUGUAACUGACGUUGAGGCUCGAAAGCGUGGGGAGCAAACAGGAUUAGAUACCCUAGUAGUC
Molecule: ribosomal RNA, 442 nt
Filed under: uncultured bacterium
Lineage: Bacteria
Description: partial 16S ribosomal RNA
Rfam family: Bacterial small subunit ribosomal RNA
Source: RNAcentral